This 468-nucleotide ribosomal RNA is filed under the name uncultured bacterium. RNAcentral describes it as "partial 16S ribosomal RNA". It matches the Rfam family "Bacterial small subunit ribosomal RNA", at positions 28 to 507 of the family's 1533-position model. The record is from RNAcentral.
GACGAACGCUGGCGGCGUGCUUAACACAUGCAAGUCGAACGGAAGGGCCCUGCUUUUGUGGGGUGCUCGAGUGGCGAACGGGUGAGUAACACGUGAGUAACCUGCCCUUGACUUUGGGAUAACUUCAGGAAACUGGGGCUAAUACCGGAUAGGAGCUCCUGCUGCAUGGUGGGGGUUGGAAAGUUUCGGCGGUUGGGGAUGGACUCGCGGCUUAUCAGCUUGUUGGUGGGGUAGUGGCUUACCAAGGCUUUGACGGGUGGCCGGCCUGAGAGGGUGACCGGCCACAUUGGGACUGAGAUACGGCCCAGACUCUUACGGGAGGCAGCAGUGGGGAAUAUUGCACAAUGGGCAGAAGCCUGAUGCAGCAACGCCGCGUGCGGGAUGACGGCCUUCGGGUUGUAAACCGCUUUCGCCUGUGACGAAGCGUGAGUGACGGUAAUGGGUAAAGAAGCACCGGCUAACUACGUG